GUGAGGAAUUUUCCGCAAUGGGCGAAAGCCUGACGGAGCAAUGCCGCGUGAAGGAUGAAGGCCUAUGGGUUGUAAACUUCUUUUCUUAGAGAAGAAUAUUGACGGUAUCUGAGGAAUAAGCAUCGGCUAACUCUGUGCCAGCAGCCGCGGUAAGACAGAGGAUGCAAGCGUUAUCCGGAAUGAUUGGGCGUAAAGCGUCUGUAGGUGGCUUCAAAAGUCUCCUGUCAAAGAUCAGGGCUUAACACUGGGGCGGCAGGAGAAACUCUGAGGGUAGAGUUUGGUAGGGGCAGAGGGAAUUCCCGGUGGAGCGGUGAAAUGAGUAGAGAUCGGGAGGAACACCAAAGGCGAAAGCACUCUGCUGGGCCACAACUGACACUGAGAGACGAAAGCGAGGGGAGCAAAAGGGAUUAGAAACCCCGGUAGUCC
This 426-nucleotide ribosomal RNA is filed under the name uncultured bacterium. Its description in RNAcentral is "partial 16S ribosomal RNA". It matches the Rfam family "Bacterial small subunit ribosomal RNA", at positions 354 to 796 of the family's 1533-position model. The record is from RNAcentral.